Molecule: transfer RNA, 74 nt
Filed under: Sus scrofa (pig)
Lineage: Eukaryota; Metazoa; Chordata; Mammalia; Artiodactyla; Suidae
Rfam family: tRNA
About the family: Transfer RNA (tRNA) molecules are approximately 80 nucleotides in length. Their secondary structure includes four short double-helical elements and three loops (D, anti-codon, and T loops).
Source: Rfam by way of RNAcentral
UCCCUGGUGGCCUAGUGAGUUAAGGAUCUGGCCUUGGCACUGCUGUGGCUCAGGUUUGAUUCCUGACCUGGGAA